GCAGUGGUGGCUCAGUGGUAGAAUUCUCCUUUUCCAUGCAGGAGACCUGGGUUCGAUUCCUGGCCAAUGCA
This 71-nucleotide transfer RNA is filed under the name Loxodonta africana (African savanna elephant). It matches the Rfam family "tRNA". From Rfam's summary of the family: Transfer RNA (tRNA) molecules are approximately 80 nucleotides in length. Their secondary structure includes four short double-helical elements and three loops (D, anti-codon, and T loops). The record is from Rfam by way of RNAcentral. Lineage: Eukaryota; Metazoa; Chordata; Mammalia; Proboscidea; Elephantidae.